RNAcentral lists this ribosomal RNA (490 nucleotides) under uncultured bacterium. Its description in RNAcentral is "partial 16S ribosomal RNA". It matches the Rfam family "Bacterial small subunit ribosomal RNA", at positions 28 to 507 of the family's 1533-position model. The record is from RNAcentral.
GAUGAACGCUAGCGGCAGGCCUAAUACAUGCAAGUCGAACGGGAUCCAGAUCACAGCUUGCUUUGGUUUGGUGAGAGUGGCGCAUGGGUGCGUAACGCGUGAGCAACCUACCCUUGUCAGGGGGAUAGCCCGGCGAAAGUCGGAUUAAUACCGCAUGACAUAAUUGAGAGGCAUCUUUCGAUGAUCAAAGAUUUAUCGGACAAGGAUGGGCUCGCAUGACAUUAGCUAGUUGGUAAGGUAACGGCUUACCAAGGCUACGAAGACGAGGGGCGCUGAGAGGAGCAUCCCCCGCACUGGAGAUGAGACCCAGACCCGAAUGCUACGGGACACAGCGGUAAUGACUAUUGGGCAAGGAACGGUAGUCUGAACCCGCCAUGCCGCGUGCAAAAAGACGGCCCUAGGGAUUGUAAACUAUUUUUAAACGAGAACAAACGUCGGUACGUGUACCGGUCUGACGGUACCGAAAGAAUAAGGAUCGGCUAACUCCGUG